GUAAAAAAAAAAAAAAAAUCAAUGCAUUUAAGAUAGGAAAACUCAAGAGAAAAAAGCACAAAUACAACAAAAAACUGCUAUAAAAAUACCCUCUAAAAAAAGGAACCAAAACAUAAAAGAAACAAGCACGGAUGCAAUGAAAAAAAAAAUAGCAUCUAAAACAUCAAUAAUUAAAGGAAUAUGAACAACGAAAGAGCACACUCGAGGCUCAAGGCAGGAAGUGAUGCAAGACAAAAAAAGGGCAAGAAAGAGGGGGGGAAAAUAGUAGACGUUAAAGGAAGUAAAGGCCAAAGGAAUAUGAACAACGAAUGAGCACACUCGAGACUCAAAGUAGGAAGUGACGCAAGACAAAAAAG
Molecule: unclassified non-coding RNA, 356 nt
Filed under: Hevea brasiliensis (rubber tree)
Lineage: Eukaryota; Viridiplantae; Streptophyta; Magnoliopsida; Malpighiales; Euphorbiaceae
Source: RNAcentral